This 4367-nucleotide long non-coding RNA is filed under the name Triticum aestivum (bread wheat). RNAcentral's name for it is "long non-coding RNA (TAES_LNC017470)". The record is from RNAcentral. Lineage: Eukaryota; Viridiplantae; Streptophyta; Magnoliopsida; Poales; Poaceae.
CAGUGUAUCUGUCCCUGGGCACUGUUUUAUAAAGUGCUCCAGGGACAAGGAGGCAUGCACAUCACGUCCACACCAUCAUGGGCAUGGUGCCCCAUGCCCACUUGCCCCCCACGCCACUACCUAGCUUAGGUAGUAAGCUAGCUCACCUAUAUAUAUGCCACCCAUCCAUCCAUCCACUAGAGGCCGACGGCCACACACUCCACCACGGCCAUGCCUAGCCACAAGAGCAUGCAUGCUCACUCCAGCCAUACACAUAUACAGAGUCAGAUGCCCGUGGCACUGAUCCCAGAUACAGUUCCAGGAGCACUUUGUACUGCCCGAUGUACAUCCUAGAUAUAUAUACUCAGACAUGCAGGAGUAGGGGUAUUAUCUCUCCGGAGAUCCCCGAACCUGGGUAAACUAGCGCGUGCUACUCGCAUACCCGCUCCCGGGCCUAUCAGCAGCAGUCUUACCCUCACACUAAGCCCUUGUGGCAUCUGUCGACUCGCAAGCCCCCCGUGAGAAUACCACGACAGUUGGCGCCCACCGUGGUGUGGUACUACUACUAUGCUACCACGCUGCUGCUGGUUUCGCAGUCCGGGCGGACCAUCUUCGCCAUCACCGCCGCGGCGUUGCGCCGUCUCUCCGGUAGCGCUCGGGGGCUCGACUUCGACCCGCCCCCGUAGCGGCCGCGCGGGACGGCGCGUCCUCGUCGUCGGCCUCGCCGCUUUCAUCAUAACCACAACCGCAACGCUGACCGUCCGUCCGCGCGCGCCGCGCGCGGGGCCUCGUUUCGGUUGGCCGUGGCCAUCCACGCGUCGCUCGCGUCCACUCCCCUCCAUGCUGCGCUUUGCUCCGGCCGGAACGGGCGUUCGCUACUCCAUAUAUCAUGUAUGCUAGCUAGCUAGAUUCUAGUCAAUAAUGGUCAAACCAUUAGCCAUACCACUACACAGAUACUACCCCGUACAUGCCCCAGAUAAUGGUCAUGUGGUGCGUGUACACUCACUGUACGCUCCUGGCCGCACAGGUCGUCACCGCUCAUGUCCCUGCAAGUCGAUGUGCUCGUGUCCUCGGCUGGGUCCGUUGCUGCCUUCGCCAGCAGCACUGCUGCAUACCUGUCUUCCGCCCGCGCCGCUGCGCCUUGCAUCCGCGUAGGCCUCUGUGCUCAUCAGCAACCACGCGCCCAGCCCCGAGCUGCUGCCUGCGGCAGCGCACCACCGCUCGCGGCCGUCGUCGGCUCCCCGUGCUGGCGCUGCUCCUCGCCGCCGUGCUCGCUCCGGUGCCGGACCGCGUCCCAGCAGCUGCUGCCGCUGCCGCACCUGCCUGUUGCUUCACCCGUCUCCGCACCAGCGCCGACCCUGGUCCUCCGCCUCCCGCGCUGCUCUGCCGGGCUCCGGAGCCACUGGCCGGCUGGUCCCCUCCGCCUCGCGGUCGCCUCCGCCUGCGCCCAGCCCUCGCGUCGUCAUGCUGCUCCGCCCCGCGCGCGCGGCCCCGCAUCGGCCGUCUCCGCAUCGCCCGUGCGCCCGCUAGGCCUGGGCCGGCUGUGGCUCCAAUCCUCGCCUCGGCAUCGCGCAUGCACGCGCGACCGACUCCUCCAGCUUCCACCACACCGUCCGCCUCGUCCCCGUGGCGUCUGGCCGCAUGGGUUCCGCUCCGCCUCACGCGCGCCCGCAGUCGGUCGCUCCGCCUCGCGCGCACCCGCAGUCGGCCGCGCCGGCCUCGCCUGCAUCCGCGGCGCCUCGCCCGCGUUCGCGGCUCCGCGCGCCGCGCCUCCCGGCCGGCUUCCACCAAGUCCGCGCGCCCCACGCCGCGCCCGCCUCCCGCGCCGAGUUCGGCCCCCUACCGUGUCGCCCGGCUCCACCAGCUUCACCCUGGCCGCAUCCGGCGCCGCUGGCCGGCUCCCGGCCACCUCCGCUGCCGGCCUCCGCGCCCCCGGCUGCUGCUGUGCCGCCUCCGCCGUCUGGCCUGCACCGGCUGUUCGGCUGCCCCCAGACUCCGCGCUGGCUACCGCCGCAUCCCGUCCGCCAGAUGGGCGCGCCAGCCGGCCCUCCGCGUCACCGGCUCGCUGCUAGCCGGCCGCCUGCCGGCUCCGAUUCCCUCCACUACAGCCCCCUCCUGUGGCCGACUGCUCGUCGAAAGAGAAGUGGGCGUCGGCUGCUCGUUUGGAGCCGGCGAAGAAAAGUCAAGGUCCGGCUGCCCUCGUGGAGACAGAGAAAGAGAAGAGUCGGGCCGACUGCUAGCAAAAGAAACAAAAAGAGUGGGAAGCCGACUGCCCACAGCCGACUGGCAGAAAAAAAUAUAGAGAAAAAGAAAUGGGGUCGGGUGGAGAGAUGCUGGCUGCCCAAGCCAGCAGAGGAAAGAAGGGACCGGCUCCCCGCGUGGAGUCGGACAGAAAGAGGAAAAUAAAUAAAUGAGAGAGAUGUGCGUUCAACUGCACGCAACCGGCUGGAAUAUGCGUCCGACUGCCAGAUGUGCGUCCGACCACUGACUGCCUGGCCGGCUGUAAAGAGCCCGACUCCUAUGCAGGAGUCCGCCUGCCCAGCCGGAUGAAGAAGAAAAAAGCACAAACUUCAAAAGAAGAAGACAAAGUAGUCGCCGGGAGAUCCGGCCUGACUGCUCAGCAGUCGGCCCGAAUCUCGGGGCUACACCCAGCGGAUGCGCUGACGCGCCCCCACGAGAAAGAAGACGAAGUAGUUGCCGGGAGAUCCGGCCCGACUGCUCAGCAGUCAGCCCGAAUCUCGGGGGCUACACCCAGUGGGUGCGCUGACGCGCCCCCACAGAAGAUUGCAAGAAACGAAAACAAGAGAAGAGUUUUGUCCGGCUGCCAGCAGCCGGCAGAAGAAGAAAAAGGGUGAUGCAAGACGCCUCGCCGCCUAGCCGGUCGAGCCUGACCGGCCGGGACCCCCCUUCGAGCGCCCGGGGGCUCGAAGGCCACACCCAGUGGGUGCGCCGGCUCUCUUCGGCAAACUCCACCUCGGCUACACGAAAAUCAAUGUGAGCUCCUCACCCGCAUGUUUUUGCACCGCGGAAGCACGGAUAACCUCGAGCGAUGCUCGAGGGGCCAUCUCCGCAUUUUAUUACAGUUGCAUCACUGUUCGCCCCGGCGCCAGCCAGAGUUGGCCCGGGGGCUGGCCGCUUGGCCUGAGACGUUAGUUCCCGCAGACGGCUUAGUAGCGUGCGCGGUACCAAAGGCCCACUCUUAGUCACAGACCGCAGAGCGGCUGUCCGGCUAGCAAGAGUGAACGCUGGAGGCCACCCAUGCGAAAAACGUCUGGGAAGAGAAACGCUUCGGGCGACCCGACCAUUUCCUUUACAAGUAUCAACUCGGUUGAAUUCGCUCCCAGAAUCUGAGUAUUGUACACUCCACUCCGCGGCCCACUCUCAGCCACAGACCGCAGAGUGGCUGUCCGGCAAGCGAGAGCAAGCCAAAGAGUGGAGGGAACAUGAAAGAGAUUGAAGGGGGCUCGGACGAAACCGAGUCGGCACCCUCCACAUAAAACUUGCAGUGUUAAAAGCAAUCAUUUGAUAUAUCUGCAUGGACUAACUUUGUCUUUUGCAUGAUCAUUUCCAUGAAACACCCGCCAAAAAACCUCCGCCCAAUUUUGCCAAGUUGCCCGGAGGCUUGGGGGCUACUGUCGGAGUAAUUGGCCACGGAUACCCCGAAGACGGCGAGACAAUAAUUCAAGACAUCGGGGCUAGCAAAGCCCCUCAGUCCGACUGCCCGGCCGCUCCUGCCGGCUCCCUGUCCGACUGCUCUGCCCGGCCGGCUGUCGGCUGCCUACUGCGCCAACCAGCCGGCUGCUGACUGCAGCCUGACCCGACACCGACAAGACACCAAUGUGACGGCCAUACCGCGGCCAAGACGGCUGUACAACGAUGACAUCAUCUACAGUGUAUCUGUCCAUGGGCACUGUUUUAUAAAGUGCUCCAGGGACAAGGAGGCAUGCACAUCACGUCCACACCAUCAUGGGCAUGGUGCCCCAUGCCCACUUGCCCCCAUGCCACUACCUAGCUUAGGUAGUAAGCUAGCUCACCUAUAUAUAUGCCACCCAUCCAUCCAUCCACUAGAGGCCGACGGCCACACACUCCACCACGGCCAUGCCUAGCCACAAGAGCAUGCAUGCUCACUCCGGCCAUACACAUAUACAGAGUUAGAUGCCCGUGGCACUGAUGCCAGAUACAGCUCCAUGAGCACUUUGUACUGCCCGAUGUACACCCUAGAUAUAUAUACUCAGACAUGCAGGAGUAGGGGUAUUAUCUCUCCGGAGAGCCCCGAACCUGGGUAAACUAGCGCGUGCUACUCGCAUACCCGCUCCCGGGCCUAUCAGCAGCAGUCUUACCCUCACACUAAGCCCUUGUGGCAUCUGUCGACUCGCAAGCCCCCCGUG